Molecule: unclassified non-coding RNA, 328 nt
Filed under: uncultured fungus
Lineage: Eukaryota; Fungi
Description: partial contains 5.8S ribosomal RNA, internal transcribed spacer 2, and large subunit ribosomal RNA
Source: RNAcentral
AACGCACAUUGCGCUCCUUGGUAUUCCGGGGAGCAUGCCUGUUUGAGAAUCAGUAAAAUUCAUCAACCGUAGUUUCUGCUUAAUUGCUGACGCUGCGGUUGGAUAUGGGCAUUUUGCGCCUGGCGCAAUGGCCUUAAAUGUAAUGUCACGAACCCAAUGGCUUCUGGUCUGGUCGUUCAAGCAAUUGAUGGCUGUAUUAACUUACUCCUGUUUGCUUUUACUUGAUCGUUUGCCCUGCCGUCGGAACUUUGUGCUCAACCAUUAUCCAGGGACGAAAGUCUCUUGAACACUUGGUCUCAAAUCAGGUAGGAAAACCCGCUGAACUUAA